Molecule: long non-coding RNA, 2326 nt
Filed under: Solanum tuberosum (potato)
Lineage: Eukaryota; Viridiplantae; Streptophyta; Magnoliopsida; Solanales; Solanaceae
Description: long non-coding RNA (STUB_LNC007645)
Source: RNAcentral
CUUUCUAUAGGCAACAUAAUUGUCCUCUGGACGAGUAUCAAUGGCAUUCAGCAUGAACUGGCAUAAACGUACAGUUCUCUUGUCCUGAUCUUUGUCUGCAGUUUCCAGAAUCUCUUCGAAAACAGGCUUCAGAGAAUAUAUCAUUGGUGUGUGGCUGCCCGUGAAGCGCCGAACUUGCUUGUUUAGAGUACGAAGGAGCACGUCUUCAAUAAACAAAUGCUUGUCCAGUAGAGACCAAUCCGAUUCAUCUGGCAUGGAAUCGAGGAGAAGAUUAUGAGUGUAUGGAUCAAUACCAUAGACUUCCUGCUCUAUCACCUCUUCUCCAAGUGUUUUCCUUGGUUUAUAAUCCUUCACUUCUGGAAUUUCCAUAUCAGACUCCUCAGUUCCAUUCUUCUGCACACUAAGCUUCCCAGCAUAAUCCUCUGGCAAAGAAACCAGCAUCUUUCUUUUCACUUCUUUCUCAUCAGCUACAAUAACAUAAUGAUCGAUGACUUCAUAUUUCCUUGUUACCGGAGGGACCAGGCUAGCCUUCGUCAUGCGAGCACCCCAUUCACGAUCGUCAGCAAAAGAAUCAAACCCAUCAUCUGGAGUAAAAUAAUCUUUUGAUUCUGCAGCUCCACAUUCUGAUCUUAAAUCCAAGUCACUUUCUGUCUCUGAAGCAGUACUCUCGUUGUCACUCGAAGUAUCACCAGAAGAUCUGCUAAGAUCAUCAGAUGUUUCACUCCCUGAAUCUAAGGAUUUCAAUCUCAACUUGGAUAAGCGUCUUUUGAUCUCUCUAUCACUUGCAAACUCUCCAUAGUCGGAUACACCAUUAACAUAGGAAGAUCCAUUGCUUCUGUUGAAGUAUUUCUUUUCAGACAUUCUAGCAGGAUUCUUUUUGUACUUUGUUGUACUAGAAGAGAAACCUGGAGGAGACUCAUCUUUCGAAGUCUUCAUCAUCUCAUCUCUUGUACUACGGAAUGACUUGGGAUCUUCUUCCAACCUAGUAGCAAGACGGAUAAAUAGUGCAAUAAUGCGAUUCAUGUCUUUGGCAUCACCACGGUUUUUUGAUCUGAGCCACAGCAUUUGUAGAAUAUCAAUCAGAAAUCAGAAUUUUCAGAAAUUAUGUUAAAGUAGAACAGAAGUGCCACACAAAAAAUAGAACCAUUUGCACCAUAUAGAUUAAAAAAUUUAUCGUGUAAUUACUCCACAACCACCUUUCCCUUCAUUCAUCAACCACACAAGAGGGAAGACACGAAGAGGAGAACAGAAAAAUGCAGUUUUGGCGUUGGAAAGCAGCAAGGAAGACAAAAGCAUUCCCUAGAGGAUUGAACAUAUGGACUAUGUUCCUUAAUGUGUGUGGGUGCACUGGGUACAUCCAGCAACAUUGAAAGAGGCUAUAAUCAGUUGGAACGGGCAGAGGGCAAAGAAGCAGCUUAAAGACUUCCGGAGUGCUGUCUCUCAAUGCAUUUCUGGUCAUUAUGGAAGGAAAAUUAUAUGUUUUGAAAACAAAUAUACAGCAGUACACUUGGUCAAAUUUAAGCCUGCAUCUUUCCGUAUUCUUGGUGUAAACAUGAAGGUUUACUGAAAUGUAAUACUUUUGUUGACUUUCUAGAUCCCUUAUUUAUCUGAAGGAAACAGAAGCCUUCUUAUGUGCAUACUCUAGCACUUUCUUGGUGCAAUCAACAAAUUCUCACUUUAAAAAAUUGCAGUACAGGUCCGCUCAUUAUCCCUGAUUCACACUUUCAGUCCCUCUUUGCACCUUUAGCCUUUUAGUUCCCUACGCAGUGACUUGAAUCCUAAAGAAAUAGGCUUUAAUGGAUCUGUAAACCCAGGGCUGAUGGUGAAUGCAUGUCAUUGUCUAAAAGAGUAUUUCAUCAUUUUUAGGGAUCAUUACUAACAGGGAACAGUGAUUUUAUCAGAUCUAUAUUUCUUUCGGAACAUACUGUUUUCCUUAAAAAUGAGACUCGAACAUGAAUAUUGCCACUUUUAAAAAGGCAACCACGACACUAUUGAUUGCAGGUUGACGAAGUUGCUAGAGUUCAGCUAGUUUUGUAUAUUAUUGGGGCUAAAUUGGUAAAGUUUUCCAAAGAUAAUUGGGUACAAUGGACUAAGGAUUCAUACAGUUGAUCCUGGCUCAUUUGGGAUUGAUUGUAGUUCCUGAUUGAUUAAAUAGCACAAUUAAAGGUACAAUUAAGGUCAAAUAGAGGUAUCAAAUAUGCAUUGAUCUCCCAAAACAGAAAUUCACACAAUUCUGCUGUUGCAAAGAUAUGCCGACACUAAAAGAAUCAUACACAAUACGGAAUGCAAAACUUACUUUAGCGCAUCCCGGCACAUUCGACUUAUA